UUUAAAGAGAGUUUGAUCCUGGCUCAGGACGAACGCUGGCGGCGUGCCUAAUACAUGCAAGUCGAACGAACGGAGGAAGAGCUUGCUCUUCCAAAGUUAGUGGCGGACGGGUGAGUAACACGUGGGCAACCUGCCUGUAAGUUGGGGAUAACUCCGGGAAACCGGGGCUAAUACCGAAUGAUAAAGUGUGGCGCAUGCCACGCUUUUGAAAGAUGGUUUCGGCUAUCGCUUACAGAUGGGCCCGCGG
Molecule: ribosomal RNA, 247 nt
Filed under: Listeria monocytogenes
Lineage: Bacteria; Bacillati; Bacillota; Bacilli; Caryophanales; Listeriaceae
Description: partial 16S ribosomal RNA
Rfam family: Bacterial small subunit ribosomal RNA
Source: RNAcentral